Molecule: ribosomal RNA, 253 nt
Filed under: uncultured bacterium
Lineage: Bacteria
Description: partial 16S ribosomal RNA
Rfam family: Bacterial small subunit ribosomal RNA
Source: RNAcentral
UACGGAGGGUGCAAGCAUUAAUCGGAAUCACUGGGCGUAAAGGGCGCGUAGGUGGUUUAUCAAGUCAGAUGUGAAAUUUCGGAGUUCAAGUCCGUAAGCUGCAUUUGAGACUGAUAAGCUAGAGGUAAAACAGGGAAAACGGAAUUCCACGUGUAGCGGUGAAAUGCGUAGAUAUGUGGAAGAACACCGGUGGUGAAGACGGUUUCUGGUUUUAAGCUGACACUGAGGCGCGAAAGCAUGGGGAGCAAACAGG